GACGAACGCUGGCGGCGCGCCUAACACAUGCAAGUCGAACGAGAAGGCGUAGCAAUACGCUUGUAGAGUGGCGAACGGGUGAGUAAUACGUGGGUGACCUACCCUCGAGUGGGGAAUAACCCGCCGAAAGGCGGGCUAAUGCCGCGUACGCUUCCGUCCUCACGGGGACGGAAGGAAAGCUGUACCGUGGGUACGGCGCUCAAGGAUGGGCUCACGUCCUAUCAGCUUGUUGGUAGGGUAACGGCCACCAAGGCUACGACGGGUAGCUGGUCUGAGAGGACGAUCAGCCACACUGGCACUGCGACACGGGCCAGACUCCUACGGGAGGCAGCAGUGAGGAAUAUUGCGCAAUGGGCGAAAGCCUGACGCAGCGACGCCGCGUGGGGA
RNAcentral lists this ribosomal RNA (387 nucleotides) under uncultured bacterium. RNAcentral's name for it is "bacterial SSU rRNA". It matches the Rfam family "Bacterial small subunit ribosomal RNA", at positions 28 to 407 of the family's 1533-position model. The record is from RNAcentral.